Long non-coding RNA from Equus caballus (horse), 6830 nucleotides. The record is from Ensembl. NCBI's taxonomy places the organism in Eukaryota, Metazoa, Chordata, Mammalia, Perissodactyla, Equidae.
GAUGUUUGGGUAGCAAAAUCUUACAAUUAUUUCACAUGUGACCAUCUUUCUAGACAGGUAAGGGUAAAUCCCUAGUAAAACAUGAUUCUUUUUGUUUUACAUAAAUUUUUAACAAAAUUUUAUAGGCUUAAUUUCCUCUGACCCUGUUAGUCAAACAUAAUCAGUUGUUCCUGAGCCAUCUCCUAAUGACUCAGGAAAACUGGCAAGUCUUCAGGAAUUUUGUGAACCAAUAGUUUGAAAUCAACUAUGGUGGUGGUAUUUUCACCACAAAAAUUGGUAAAUGAUACAAAUCAUGGCUCUUUCUUUUUUCCAUAGUGUGUUUGCUGUUAAAAAUUUGAUAGCAUGUUGCUACUAAAUAUCCCUUCCACCGAGCAUACGUGAAGGAAGUGUGAGUAGAUGAAGUGUUAUCAGAAGAGGCUGUAUAAAUUAGCAUAUUGCUACAAUCUUUAUAUUUUAUCCUUCAAGGUCUCCAAUCUUCUCACUGCCGGUGCCUAAUUCUUCAACAUUUUAAAUAAUUCAUAUUUAGAAUCACUGGGGUGCCAUGAAAAACACCCACCAUUUAAAAUUUUCUACAUGUUAACAUGCCAUUUAUAAGAACAAAAUGCAUGUUUAACUUUUCAUUCAGCAGAGUUCUAGGAAGGCUAUAAAUAGCCCAUGCUUUUAAAAGAGGUUUCAACCUCAGUUUUCUAGAAAGAAUAAGAAAAUGUGUACUGGCUAUUUAAAGCUUACCCUGUCUUAACAGACGGAAGAAAAAGCUUGCUGAAUCCUUAAAAAUCUUCAUAAUUAAUAUCAGACUCUCUAUGAUUAUCAAUAUCAUGUAUCAACUCAAAUUCUUCUUAAGGCAUGAUAAAGUAACUGGAAAAAUAACACCAAUAUUUAAUUGGUGUCUUUUAAGUGACAGGCACACUUCCAGGCAUGGAGGAUAUAUCAGUGACCCAGACAGAUCUUUGCUCUCCUGAAGCGUUCAUUCUUGUGGUAGAAGAGAAACAAUAAACAUGAAAAAAGACUAACUAAUAGGAUACUUUCAGAUAGUGAUAAAUUAUGUAAAGAAAACAAGACUGAGAACAGAGAAUGAGCACACUGAGCACAGUUUGUCUUCCACAGAAAUCUCAUUUAUUCUUAUGAUUUAACUCACAGAUUCAUCAUGACUUCUUUAUUAUUGCCAUGUUGAUAUUUUACACAAAACUCAGCAAAACAAAAACAAAACUCACUUCAGGUAGACCGUAAGUAUAAAUAUGUUUGAUGUUAAAAUUAAUUGUAGUUUUGUACUUAAUACUUUACACCAGUAAAUUUGACUUUGUUUGUAUUCAGUUACUGCUAUGAGCUGGGUACUGGUAUGAGAAUCACAGCUGCAUUUAAAAACACAUACACACAUAAAAUGUUGUUCUUGCUCUUCAAGGGUCUUCUGCUCUAGCACUCUUGUGUGAAAGAAUAAGAGACAAUUCCAGCUUAAAUUAAUUAUUUCUAUGGAAGAUUUAAGCAUCUGGCUGUUGAUGAUAUUGAGUAACAUAAAUAUUUCUGGAUAAGUGAAGGAGAUGUUCAGCACAGCUUUCCAAAGGAGAAUGCAUUCAUGUUAAGUUUUAAAGAAUGAAUAGUAGAUAGCAAACUCAAGAGGGUGAAGAGGAGAGAACUACCAGGUUAAGGAAAACCACAAGGAGAUUUGAAUGACCAAUACGUUUGAAUAAACAUGUUAAAUUUGUUGGUGAAUGCAAAGCAUAGACAGAAAACAGUGGUUAAAUAUGAGACUGGAGAUUAACUGUGGGUUAAAUCAUGAAGUGCUGUUAAGGUCAUAAUAAUUCUGUGCCAGAUUCAUGGAGAGAAAUGUCAAAGAUUGGUAUUGAGAAUUGUGUUUAAGGUCAAGGCUUUUUAUCAUAGCAGUCAAUUAGGAGAGUAUUUCGCUGCUUGAGAUGGAAAAUAAGGAUUUGUAGUAAAUCUUAGGGGGUAGGGUAUAAUUCUUGAGAUAUUUAUGUGGUGGAAUUGAUAGGAUCUGUGGAUUUUUUGUACCAAAGUGAGGUGGAAGGGUAACAGAUUAUUCUAGGUCAUUCUAGAUUAUUCUAGCUUAUCUAGAAUGAUAAAACUAUGACUGGUAGUUCCAUUCUCAAAAAAUGGUGAAUUCAGGAUGAGGAAUCUGCAGUUCUCUGUCUGGUUUUCAAAGACAUUUAUAAUUUGGCAUGUAUCAAUCUUGCACAUUUUAUCUCCCAUUGCCUCCAAACAUAUUCAUUUCCCUGUUCUCCUCAGCAACUUUAACAGCCCUUGCUGGGCUAUCUUAUUAAUCACUCAAAGCAUGUUAUUGGGCUCCUUCUAUGUUUCAGGCACAGUUCUAGAUACUGGCAAUUUAGCAAAGAAGAAAACAGACAAAUUCUUUCAAAGAGCAUACAUUCUCUUUGGGAAGCAAGGCAUUGAUCAUUCUGGCUAUUUCCUGCUGAAAGGGAAUGAAGAUGGGGUAACUGAGGAGUGAGAUUUUUCAACUUGAGAUUGAAAAUAUUCUCAGGUUCCAUAAAGUAUCCUGAAGUUCUUUGCACCUGCCAGGGAAGUGACCUUCUUUACUCACCUGAGUCACCAAGGAAAACACCUACAGCCAAGCACUGAAUGGAAAAAUGCUUUACUUACAUAAAGAAGAGACAGCAAGAUCAGCUUCAAAGGAAAAGCAGAAGAUAAUUGAAGAUUGAGGGAAUGAAGAAAGGGAGACGUUCUAAAGGACCAGAAAAGAAGCAGUUCAUGAAGUUAUACUUGACAAAGUUUUGUCCAGGUUUUUGGAGAUGAAAAUUGGGGGAUUAAAAUCAGAAUUACAACUAACAUCAUUGUUAGUUUUCUGGGUGCAAUAUUUGCAAAGUUGGCUAGUUUGCAUAUAAAGUAUUUUUCAUUCUGAAUUAAUUUAACUUCAAAUAAAAUAUUCUGUAGGUUAAAAAAAUAAUAACAAGUAUUCAAGUCAAAGUGUAUUGUUGUACCCAGAUAUCUAAACAAGAAUACUUCCACAUGACAGUUACAGAUUGGGAUAUGGUCUCCCUAGAGGUGAGUUUGCUUCAUUCAUUCACCCUUUUUUCUGCUCAAGUUUGUUGCUUCGUGUUAUGGUUACAAGCAUAGUGGCCAAUGCAUUAGCAUUGCCAAGAAUCCACUUACUUAAUUCUAAAUGCAAAUGCUACCUAAUGAAAAGAUUUUUCUCCCUUAGAACUCUCCCGAACAUUCUGUGAAUGGGUGUUAUUGGGCAGCAUAUAUUCUCUGUGCCAGGACCCGAGUGUUCCUGAAUGAUUUAGUAUCUUUCAUAAAGGGCUUCAGUAUCAGUGGGAAAUGACAAUGAGCAGAAUCAACUGAAUAAGUACCAAAAUGUUCUCUGUUACUGCAUGCUAAUAAUAAUUAUGUGGUCUAUAAAAUUGAUUUAAUUUCCACAACAUUCUGUGCAUCCUAUGCAAAUUCUUUGGAUAGUACUAAAAGUAGAAUAAAUCAUUAGCUACCUAAAGCACUCUUUGCAUUUUACCUAUUUCUAUUUUUUAUGAGGAAGUCCUAGCUCUUUAAAUCUUUCAAAAUUUUGAUAGGAUAUUUAUACAUUUUUGUAUUCAAACUUUCUACACAAUAUCUAGAUUUGAAAAAUAAUGUAUCUACAGGCAGUCCUGACCAACUCAAUCACAAGGAAGAAAGAUUUGCAGCAAAGAGCCAAUAUGGGCUAUUUUAUAGCAUAUCAUCUGGAUGCCUGAACUAUAGAAAACCCUAGGGAAUAAUUAAAUUUCCAUACCUUAUGUGGAGUGACCAUUAAAGAAGAUAUCGCUAUUUGUGGACCAGUUAGAAAGGCUUGGACCCAAGGCUCUUUCCUUUAUAAUUCUGUGGGUUUGCAAUGAGUCGUAAUUUGAAAUUCAUGAAUAUAAAGUUUCUUCUUACAUCAAAUGCAUGUAGUGGAUGUUAUACACAAUAUUAAUAACUCUAGAAAGAAUGGAGUUUAAUAGUAAAUCAAACUAAGCAUACAUUCUGGAACUCAUAUUAUUAGACUUUGUAGUUUCCUAUUUCAUUUUUAACUGUUUAUACUGAAAGUUUGAGGCUAAAUUAUGUUAAUUCUCAGAGGAUAUAAAUGCACUAAGAAAGCCUUCAGAAUGCUUUCUAAACAACAUUCACUCUUUCAAGCUAUUUAGUCAGUUUUUAUUGCAGUACCUGUUAAAAGAAAGUCUGUAGCUUGAAAAAAACAUAAAAUCUCUAACAACUUAAAAGAAACUUAGAAUGUUGAAAAGGUGGCUGAAGAAAAGCUGGGAAAUGGCUAGAUAAAUGAAACUAGGCAACUCAACUGGAAACUAGAAAUUUAAACGCAAUGCAUUAUGUUGACCAUAGCUUUAUAGAGUUCCUUCUUCUAGAAGGGUCUUAACUGAGGUGUAUAUAUUGAGCACCUGGUAGCAGUGCUUCUGGGUUCCCUAAGCUACAUUCUUUUCUCUGUAGUUUUCCCUAUGCAAUCUCUCUACAUGUUUAAACCCAAGUGUCUUCUAAGGUCCUGUUUCCACAAAAAAUUUCUUAUUCCCCCCAUCAAAGAUGUGGUGUACCUGAUCGUAUUGUCAUGCAACACAUUAUACACUAGUUUGGCAUUUAUUACAGACCAUUUUAUAUAAACAGAAGCUUCAAAUAUAAUCAAGAAACAAAAUGUAUAAUAAAGAGAAUAGAUCUUACGUGCUCCUAGGAGAGAUCAGUGCUGACUGAAAUAAUCUGUGAAGGCCCUAGGAAGGAAAUAUUUGGAACAGGCCUGAAGAAAAUGCUGAGGAGCAAGUUCUUAACAGAAAAGUCACUCGAACCUGCCUAUAACCCUAUUGAGAAUUAGCUCGGGUGGCGAUAAGGAGAUAGUCUUUCAUAAACUUACAAUAUAUGAGGGUGUGUCGGAAAAACUUCAGUUUUCCGCCUCCUGUGCAGGCAAAAGCCCAGUUCUUCCCUACUAUGUCAUUCGUUCUUGUGUGUCUCCUUUACUAUGCACACAGAGCACUUCACCUUUUACACUGCUGGUCACCAAAUGUGUGGAGGUUUUUCCCUACACCAAGCAAUUCUCUGACACCAGAUGGAUGUCCUACAACUCAACUCAAUUCUGACACCAUCUAUGUGGAGAUAACGUCAUAUCCCACAGGUUAAGGACUCGGUCCACAGGACUGCUCCCCACUUCAGAUGCCAAUCACAAGUAGUAGGUCCCCAGGUUACCCACAACUUUUGUCCAACUUGGCCACAAAUCAGAAGUUCUCAUGCCCUCCUGCCCCUUGGAUUCCAUUACUUGCUAGAGCAGUUCACAGAACUCAAAGAAGCACUUACUUACAUUUACCAGUUUAUUAAAGGAUAUGAUAAAGGAUACAGACGAACAGCCAGAUGAAGAAAUACAUAGGGUGAGGUCUGGGAAAGUCCCGAGCCCAGGAGCUUCUGUCCUUCUGGAGUUGGGGUGCAUCUCUCUCCUGGUGUGAAUGUGUUCACCAACUUGGAAGCUCUCUGAAACCCCUACUACUGGGAUUUUAUGCAGGCUUCAUCAUGUAAGCAUGAUCAAUUACUAACUCCAUUUCCAGCCCCUCUCCUGUCUCUGGAGGAUGGGGGAUGGGGCUGAAAAUUCCAGGCUUGUAAUCAUGGCUUGGUCUUUCUGGUGACCAGACCCCAUCCAGAAAUCACCACUAAGUCCACCUAGGGUCACUUCAUUAGAGUAAAAGAUGCUCCUAGUGCUUUUACCACUUAGGAAUUUACAGGAGUUUUAGGAGCCCUGUGCCAGGAACUGGGGGCAGAGACUAAUAUACACAUAUAUUUUCUAUUAUCUCACAGUGGGGCUAGUGGAAAAUGACAUUGAAGAAGUUUGAUCAACCAGUCUCACAAGAGUGAGGAAAAUUUUUAAGAUGAAAGAAAUAAUGUAGAUGGGAUGACUUGUCUUUGCAUUCAAUAAAAUUAGAGGCAUUUUUUAAAAAGUCUCUUGUUAAAGCAGUGACCCUGGAAAUGGAAAACAAUAAAUACAUUGGCACCUUGUUAAAGAGAGGAAAAAUCUGAGGAUGAGCCCCAGGUAUUAAUAUCUGGUGGUGAAAGUACAGUUGUUUCAAAAGAGCUGUCUCAAAAAUGAAUGUGAGUUCAGAGAGCUUUGAAGCUCCCAAAAUAAGCAAAAGAGAGAGACAACUUUGAAGUCCAAAAUCUGUGUUGUUUAGCACCAGACUGCACUACCUCAAAUUUGCUCUGGUUAAGUGGCUAAAAAGAGAGGAAAAGUGUGCAUAGCAGGCCAUGUUUGCUGUCUUGUGAUCUCUGUUCCCAUCUUUCUUUUCUUUCCUAGUGAGAUCCUGAUUGCGCCGGUAUCCACGUUCCUUAGCAUUCUUGGCUAUGAGUUUUAAAGAAGACUGGACACAAAUCCAGCCAUUGAGGUCCAUUCCCCUCAGUAAUAAAUACAGACAAAGAUAUGGAAAAUAAAAAGAAGGAUUUGGUCAUUAGAGAUAAAAAUGCAGCAAAGAAACAAAACUGGGAACACUGGAAUGAAAUUUGAAUUGAAUGGAAGUGGAGUUACAGAAGAAAUUUCGAACUGUGAGAAUGUGAUCCUGCUGCAGGUGGGGAGACUCUCGGUAAGCAGCCUCAGGAUCUUGGUGAAAGCGACCUUAACUAUGUAAAUGAGGAAAGUGGUUGUGAUGAAAAGAAUGAAUAUAUCACAGAGGAAAUGACACCGGCAAAAAAACUCUUGGAGAUAUUUCAAAACAUUGAAAGCACAAAGGAUAAAAUGUUGGAGACUGAUACAAUCUUAGAGAGAAGUAUGGCAACUCACCAAGGCCAUAGAAAAGAUUCCCACUCUAAGUUAUACAAGGAGAAGAAAAGACAUAAGCUCUGUUCAAACUACACUUGACAAGUUUUUACAAAGAAAU